AUUGAACGCUGGCGGAAUGCUUUACACAUGCAAGUCGAGCGGCAGCGCGGGGGCAACCCUGGCGGCGAGCGGCGAACGGGUGAGUAACAUAUCGGAACGUACCCUGUCGUGGGGGAUAACUAUCCGAAAGGAUAGCUAAUACCGCAUACGACCUGAGGGUGAAAGCGGGGGAUCGCAAGACCUCGCGCGAUAGGAGCGGCCGAUAUCGGAUUAGCUAGUUGGUGGGGUAAAGGCUCACCAAGGCGACGAUCUGUAGCGGGUCUGAGAGGAUGAUCCGCCACACUGGAACUGAGACACGGUCCAGACUCCUACGGGAGGCAGCAGUGGGGAAUUUUGGACAAUGGGCGCAAGCCUGAUCCAGCCAUGCCGCGUGAGUGAAGAAGGCCU
Molecule: ribosomal RNA, 387 nt
Filed under: uncultured bacterium
Lineage: Bacteria
Description: bacterial SSU rRNA
Rfam family: Bacterial small subunit ribosomal RNA
Source: RNAcentral